Molecule: ribosomal RNA, 32 nt
Filed under: Tricholoma matsutake
Lineage: Eukaryota; Fungi; Basidiomycota; Agaricomycetes; Agaricales; Tricholomataceae
Description: partial 28S ribosomal RNA
Source: RNAcentral
UGACCUCAAAUCAGGUAGGACGACCCGCUGAA